This is a long non-coding RNA of Cylas formicarius (sweet potato weevil), 4561 nucleotides long. RefSeq lists it as uncharacterized. The transcript is spliced from 3 exons. The record is from RefSeq and is a predicted model, not a curated record. Lineage: Eukaryota; Metazoa; Arthropoda; Insecta; Coleoptera; Brentidae.
UACACCUCUUCUAUGAAAUCAAUAUACGUAGUCCCCCUUCUAGUCGCUAGGUGGCACCACAGCUUUAAAGCAGAGCCAAAAAACUGUGGAAUAACUUACCAUGGACGGUAUAUUCGCCAUCUAUGGUCUUAACCUCAUUCCUCUUUUUGUGCUUUGGUGGCACAUGUUCAUUUUUAUUCGGCGUCGGUGUUUUCAGCUUUUUUCAGCGUUUUUGGAAGUUAAAUGGAGAAGUACAAGUGAGAUUUACGUUAUUCCUUAUCGGAUGAAGAAAGAACCUACCUACGACGAAAGAUUAAAUCUUUCCAUCCGCGAUUACGUAAUCGCUAGUGGCGUGAUUCCCAUCAACGAGAUUUUCUUACAAUUGGGAGACGAUUUCUUCAUCGUCCGGGUUCCGAUCGGAAUCCCCAGAACUCGAAAGACCCCCCAUCUUUCCCACUUAUACGACAGCAGUCGUAUGUAAGUGUUUCACAAUUGGAAGCAAUCCUUUUGUGAGGGGGUCGGCCAUACAUAUGGUUUUAUAUUUUUUCGACAUCGAAAAAAUAGAGUUUUCUGGCUCGUCCGGCUAUGGAUGAGGCGCCCGGGAUACUGGGACAUAAUGAACAAUUUUUUAUGGCUGUUGGAAUGCAUUUACUCCAUCGUAAGUAUAUUUUUUAGGCCCUUCAAUUAAUUCUGAUGUCAUUGUUGAGCCCCUUGAGACGGAUUUAAAGCAAAAUGGCCUUUAAGCUAUGGGGUCGAUAGUCCCAACACAAAGUUUGAUGUGUCAUGACAUUUUGGCAAGUCAGAUUAAUACCUUUUUUGAAAUCCGGUGUGUCCGAAGAUUGUCUCAGUGACCUUUUGCGUUGAUAUCCUGUGCCGAAGAAUUGCCCGCUCAAUAACUCUCCUAAAUUGAAUGUGCAGAUGAAAUCUGCCAUCAACAAAGGUGGAAAGAAAAGGGAUGAGAGACUGACUGCAACAAGGGGUGCUUUGAUGGUGGUUGGUAGGACGCUCUUGACCUUGCUUUUGAAACCGGUUAAGGAUGAGUAGUACUUACUUCUCAUCGAAAUGUUGAGUAAUGCAAUAUUUGUUUUAAGCAAAAUACACCAUUUAGGUUCAGUAUAUAGAAGUUCAGCCGCGUUAAGCCUUUCGCUGGUCUCAAAUGAAAUGCAGCCUUGUAUGAAGGAAGUGCUCGUUGAUGCUUCUUUGCACUCUUGUUUAUAUGGAGAAGAUUUGGCUGAUAGGCUCAAAUCAAUCAGAUUAGCUGCAGAUUAGUGGCCGAGUUAAAGUCAGGUGCAUCCGGAACAAGGCUUUUAUAGCAUACAAAUUUAAACUCGACCGUCCCACUUCGUUCCCGGAAGUUGCAAGGCUGAAGUGGGUGAAAGUCAUUGUACCCUCAAAAGAGGGAAUACAGGAAGGUUUGAGAGGAAAGGGGGUGGAGUUGUGUCCCCAGGAAAAAAUAAACUCAAGAUGCACAGAUUCUACCUUGGUUAGAUGGAUAUAAAAUUCCAUUUGCGAGGCCAGUUAUACAGGACUUGAUUACGACAGAUCCUGUUUGGUCCCAACAAGAAAAAGAUUCAAUUUGUAAUGUGGUCAAACACCUGUUAGAGAUAGGUGCAAUUGCAGUUUGCGAACCUUGUAAGAAUCAAUUUAUUUUACAGAUCUUUUUGGUUUCAAAAUUGGAUGGUUCGGUUUGAUUAGUUUUAAAUUUAAAGAAACUGAAUGCUUUUAUUGACACUUGUCAUUUUAAACUGGAAGACAGAAAAUUAGUAGAAACACUCUUCACAAGGAAGUCCUUUAUGACCACUCUGGACUUGAAAGAAGCUUACUUUCUAGUCCCAAUAAUUGAAAAUCUAAAGAAUUUUCUAAGAUUUUAUUUUGAUGCUCUCUGUUAUCAGUUUAACAUGUUACCCUUUGGUUUAUGCACCGCCCCGUGGGCCUUUACAGAAUUAAUGAAAUCUGUGGUUUCUUAUCUCCCUGCCAAGGCUUUUCCCUCAAUAGUUUAUUUAGAUAACUUUACUAUUUGGUGAUAGUUAGCUAUCCUUAAAAAAUGUUCAAGUAACUUGCAACACACUGAUUAGGUUGGGUUAUGUUAUUAAUUAUAAGAAUGUUUUACAUCCUUCGAAAUCCCGUAAAUUUUUAGGUUUUGUUUUUUUUUUUUGAAUCCCACCACUUGUUUUUCUGAUGAGUAAGUAAGUUUUGCAAUUUGAACCGUUGCGAAAUAAGAGUCUUUGCCGAGCUUUGUGCUGUGCUAGUUUUCAGUUUGCCCAGCAGUUUGUUACAGUUGGGUAUAUACUAAGAAUUUUUGAGAGAAUCAAAUAUCUAGCCCUUCAAGACUCUAAUUAUGAUAUUUGGAUGAUAAUUCCUUGUAAUUUACGGAGGGAUUUUAUGUGAUGGCUAAAAAGUUUACAGAAUCCUGAAUGCCCUGUAAGGCAGCAAUGUUACAAACUUGAGAUUUUCUCAGAUGGUACUCCUUUGGGUUGGGGAAUUGUGCCAGAGGACUUUGGAGUCCUAGGGAAGCUCAGUUUCAUAUUAAUGCACUAGAAUUAACUGCGGCCUCAUUUGGUCUCUAAUGCUUCGCCUCGUAUUUGACUAACUGCGAGACACUUUUGAGGAUUGAUAACACAACUGCUAUUUUGUAUGUAAAUAGAAUAGGGUGAGUAAAAUUUCCUGUUUUAAACGAAAUUUCGAGGCGCCUUGGGGUUGGUGUGAAGAAAGGAGGUUAUGGGUUAAAGCAUCUUACAUUCGAUCUUCCGAUAAUUUUGAAGCGCAUAAGGAACCCACGAAUUUGAAUUUUGAUGGUGAAUGGUACCUUUCGGACAAUGCUUUUGCUAAAAUAACAAGCAAAUUUGGAUUCCCAUAAAUCGAACUGUUUGCUUCUCGCCUAAGUAAGAAAUGCGGAAAGUUUAUUUCCUAAUUUCCAGAUCCGGAGGCAUCUAAUGAAGACGCGUUUACUGUUUUUUGGAGCGACAGUUUCUUCUAUGUUUUCCCCCCGUUUUGCUUGUUGCCACUUGUUUUACGAAAAAUCAAGGCUGAUUGAGCUACAGGGAUCGCAGUAAUCCCUUACGGGCACAGCCAGCAUUGACAAAUUACCUUCUUCUUUUGACAGGAGAGGUCACCCUUUGUGGAAAUCCCUUACCCUGGCUGCAGGGAUUUUGUCAGGCAAGCAUUCCAGAAGAUUUGCUGGAUAUCAUCUGUUCAGAGCGCUACCUUGAGGCAUUUAAUACCUGCAUGCAUUUAAACUUUGGUGGAGCUUCUACGAAAGGAGGGGAGUGGAGUGUUAUUACUUCUCACCUAGGCUGUAUUAGAUUUCCUUACUAUUCAUUUUAGACAAGGCAAGUCCUAUGGCUCAUUGAGUUCUUUCAGUGCAGCACGGCCUUAUUUUUGGAUCAGAUUUAUUUAACAAUGCAAAUCUAACUAGGUUUUUUAAGGUGUUUAUAAUCUAAGGCCAAGUAAACCAAGAUAUAACAGCACUUGGGGCCCUAGUUAUGUCCCUGACUUUGUAAAAGGGUUACGUUCUAAUGACUUGUCAUUAAAGCAAUUAACUGUCAUUAAAACAAUUAAAUUAGUUUCUCCUACUGAAGUUAACGAUUGUACAUAGAGUCCCAACGCUCUCUCUUAUAGAAUUGGUCAACAUAAAAUCAUUUCCAGAUGGAUUAGAAAUUAGAAUAACGAAUCAAAUUAAGAUUUCAGCUAUAAAUAAGACUCGACCUGUUUUUUAAUUUUGCAUAAAUAUGAAGAUGUAAAUCUUUGUGUGGUUUCAAAUAUAUUAUUGAGAGGGCCAGUGCUUUAAGAGGCAGUGAAUCUCGUUUACUCAUUACAUUUAAAAAGCCUUGUAGGGCAGCAACUAUACCCAACAAAAGUAGAUGAAUAAAGAUAACUUUAGAAGAUAGUGGUGUCUACACUUUUAUUUUUACUGUUCACAGAACUCGACAUGCCUCAACAUCGUCUGCGUUUUGUAAAGGUGUUUCAUUUGAUAUGAUUGGAAAAACGGCAGAUUGGUGAGAAUGCUCUAAAUGUUUUCCCCUUUUUUAUAAUCGACCUAUUUGUACAGCAAGUGCAGGCCUUUUUGUUAAUGCCACAUUUGGGACAUAGAAUUUUUCAGAAGGUUUGUUUUCUCGGAUAGCCAUUUAUUUUGUAUUUGUACUCGAGGCUUUCAUAAACUUCCUGGAUUUCCUUAUAUAGCCGAAUAAAAUCGUUUUAUAACAAAUUUGCUGAGUUGCCUUUGAAAGUCUACGUAUAUUGAUUUCAUAGAAGAGGUGUAACAUAUAAUUCAAUGAUCAAACGAACUUACCUGGUAAGUGAAGUUCGAUCGUAAUUAUAUGUUACACCUCUUCGUAGAAAUCACCCAUUCCCGCCCAAUUUACUGUUCUGAACAGUACUAAAAUGCCCUUUGGCAAAUUUAUUAUAAACGGGCUUUAAAAUAGAAUGAGGUUAAGACCAUAGAUGGCGAAUAUACCGUCCAUGGUAAGUUAUUCCACAGUUUUUUGGCUCUGCUUUAAAGCUGUGGUGCCACCUAGCGACUAGAAGGGGGACUACGUAUAUUGAUUUCUACGAAGAGGUGUAACAUAUAAUUACGAUCGAACUU